This 2234-nucleotide long non-coding RNA is filed under the name Olea europaea (common olive). RNAcentral describes it as "long non-coding RNA (OEUR_LNC004179)". Lineage: Eukaryota; Viridiplantae; Streptophyta; Magnoliopsida; Lamiales; Oleaceae. The record is from RNAcentral.
GUUACUUCAAAGGGAGAAGGCAAUUUACAGGAAGAAAAUUUAGAUUUAGUUUUAAAAAGAUGUACCCAAGACUACCUCAAAGAGAACAAUCAAUCGAAUCUUGAGUAAAAUAUAAUCCUUCUGAUCCUCCUCCAAGUGAAAGGGAAAAAAGUUGAAAAUGCAAACUUGCAAGAAAUUACCCAUUAGUAGUAAUCAGGUGCAUCUGGGAUCCAAUCCAUCGGAGAGCGAGGCACUCAAUUUGAAUGGUACAGACUGCACCGAAACACAAAUGAUCAGCAUCCCAUCACAGCACAAUUGUAAACAAAACUGCCAGAUUGUUUUCGGCCGAGCAAAACCCAUUGCGGCGGACCUUCAAUUGGAACCCAUGCAUUGACUUCGAUAUAUCCCUGACCAACAGUCCGAGGCCCUCCAAUUACAAUAAGCCUAUCGCCACAUGCCCUAAACGCCAAACCCCAACCAUUCGUAGAAUCAGCUCGUUCUGGCAAUCUUCCUACGGUAAUCCACACUUUAUUAUUCUUGUCAUACUUUCUCAGUGCCAUGUCAGCAUAAUCAGCAGCAUAUAAUUCAUUAUUUACAACAGCAAUCAACGGAGGUGCUUCGGACGUAGCAGGUCGAUCGAAUUCCCUGGCCACAUCAGUCCGCACUGGGGACAUGUUAGGUAUUUCAGUCCAAGUCUCGGUUUCCAGAUUAUAUUCCUCUCCACAUGUGAGAAGCUUCGACUCUGUUCCUCCAAUUCCUCCAAUCACAUAAAACUUUCCAUCCAUGAACACCCCAGAACACAUCUUCCUCGGUUUCUUCAUGCUUGGAAGUGUCUUCCAAAUUCCCAAUUCAGAAUUAUAGAGCUCUGCGGAACCCUAAAGUUUACAGCGGUGUACUCACUUCAGUGGUCCUGAAAAGACUCGAAUUGAUGACCAUUGGGGAGUAAACCCAAUGUCUGAUCAUUGAGCUACUUCUCAGAGUUGAGACUUGAAUAUUUUACUACCACAUAAUUAUCAAAUAGCUAUCUUAAAAACACAAAGUUAUUAGAAAAUGUUCAACACAAGUAAAAUGAAGAUAACAUAGCAUUAUGGACACUGUCAAAAUCAACAGUAUACAGAUAAUUUGUAAUUCAAAACUAAAGAAAAUUUUCCUCACUUUUGAAACAAGUUAUUCUAUCAAUAAAACAGGUUCAGAUAUCAAAAUUAAGAGAAUUAGUUUGAACUUUCCAUUUUAUAUAUCGAAGAGAGAACUUCACCAAAAACAUGGUUUACAUCAUUCAAAGGGUCAAAUAAUAGCGAUUCAAUGACUGGAGUCACUUGACGUAUUUAAGAACCAGAAUAAAACGUUAUAGAAAUAUGCAAGAACAUCCAUUCAAACUAGCCAAAGAAAAGCAUAAACUUCGGGAUAAAAGAGAACAGGAAGCUGCUAUAAAGCUGCAAAGAGUAACCGAAGAAAAAAGAUCACUUUAUAGCCGAUGCUCCCAGUAAACAUGUUCAUGCCUUAUUGUUUUCCCCUUCAUACAAUUCCAAGAACUUGAAAAAUCGAAUCACUGAAUUCUAUGAGAUAACCUUCAUAAGACACCAACGAAAACCUAUAAAUGUAUUCCUCCUAGAAGUUAUUCGAACAUUUUUCUGCGCAAAGGUCAACUUUGAUAUUUUCUCAUGUUACUUCAAAGGGAGAAGGCAAUUUACAGGAAGAAAAUUUAGAUUUAGUUUUAAAAAGAUGUACCCAAGACUACCUCAAAGAGAACAAUCAAUCGAAUCUUGAGUAAAAUAUAAUCCUUCUGAUCCUCCUCCAAGUGAAAGGGAAAAAAGUUGAAAAUGCAAACUUGCAAGAAAUUACCCAUUAGUAGUAAUCAGGUGCAUCUGGGAUCCAAUCCAUCGGAGAGCGAGGCACUCAAUUUGAAUGGUACAGACUGCACCGAAACACAAAUGAUCAGCAUCCCAUCACAGCACAAUUGUAAACAAAACUGCCAGAUUGUUUUCGGCCGAGCAAGACCCAUUGCGGCGGACCUUCAAUUGGAACCCAUGCAUUGACUUCGAUAUAUCCCUGACCAACAGUCCGAGGCCCUCCAAUUACAAUAAGCCUAUCGCCACAUGCCCUAAACGCCAAACCCCAACCAUUCGUAGAAUCAGCUCGUUCUGGCAAUCUUCCUACGGUAAUCCACACUUUAUUAUUCUUGUCAUACUUUCUCAGUGCCAUGUCAGCAUAAUCAGCAGCAUAUAAUUCAUUAUUUACAACAGCAAUCAACGGAG